CGCUGGCGGCGUGCCUAAUACAUGCAAGUCGAACGGUCUUUUCUAUGGAAGCUUGCUUCCACUGAGAAGAUAGUGGCGAACGGGUGAGUAACACGUGGGUAACCUGCCCAUAAGAGGGGGAUAACAUCCGGAAACGGGUGCUAAUACCGCAUAGUUUUCUUGAUCGCAUGAUCGGGAAAGGAAAGACGGCCUUUGUGCUGUCGCUUAUGGAUGGACCCGCGGCGUAUUAGUUAGUUGGUGAGGUAACGGCUCACCAAGACGAUGAUACGUAGCCGACCUGAGAGGGUGAUCGGCCACAUUGGGACUGAGACACGGCCCAAACUCCUACGGGAGGCAGCAGUAGGGAAUCUUCCGCAAUGGACGAAAGUCCGACGGAGCAACGCCGCGUGAGUGAAGAAGGUUUUUCCGGAUCGUAAAACUCUGUUGUCAGAGAAGAACAAGUUGGAGAGUAACUGCUCCAGCCUUGACGGUAUCUGACCAGAAAGCCACGGCUAACUACGUGCCAGCAGCAGC
This 513-nucleotide ribosomal RNA is filed under the name uncultured bacterium. Its description in RNAcentral is "bacterial SSU rRNA". It matches the Rfam family "Bacterial small subunit ribosomal RNA", at positions 34 to 518 of the family's 1533-position model. The record is from RNAcentral.